RNAcentral lists this ribosomal RNA (1216 nucleotides) under Flavobacteriaceae bacterium Hel_I_10. RNAcentral's name for it is "bacterial SSU rRNA". It matches the Rfam family "Bacterial small subunit ribosomal RNA", at positions 107 to 1327 of the family's 1533-position model. Lineage: Bacteria; Pseudomonadati; Bacteroidota; Flavobacteriia; Flavobacteriales; Flavobacteriaceae. The record is from RNAcentral.
UGCGUAACGCGUAUGCAACCUACCUUUUACAGGGGAAUAGCCCAGAGAAAUUUGGAUUAAUGCCCCAUAGUGACCCUUGGUCGAUUGGCCUGGGGGUCUAAAGAUUUAUCGGUAAAAGAUGGGCAUGCGUUCUAUUAGCUAGAUGGUGUGGUAACGGCACACCAUGGCUACGAUAGAUAGGGGCCCUGAGAGGGGGAUCCCCCACACUGGUACUGAGACACGGACCAGACUCCUACGGGAGGCAGCAGUGAGGAAUAUUGGACAAUGGAGGCAACUCUGAUCCAGCCAUGCCGCGUGCAGGAAGACGGCCCUAUGGGUUGUAAACUGCUUUUAUACGGGAAGAAACCCGCCCACGUGUGGGCGGCUGACGGUACCGUAAGAAUAAGGAUCGGCUAACUCCGUGCCAGCAGCCGCGGUAAUACGGAGGAUCCAAGCGUUAUCCGGAAUCAUUGGGUUUAAAGGGUCCGUAGGUGGAUUGUUAAGUCAGGGGUGAAAGUCUGCGGCUCAACCGUAGAAUUGCCCUUGAUACUGGCGAUCUUGAGUUAUUGUGAAGUAGCUAGAAUAUGUAGUGUAGCGGUGAAAUGCAUAGAUAUUACAUAGAAUACCGAUUGCGAAGGCAGGUUACUAACAAUGUACUGACACUGAUGGACGAAAGCGUGGGUAGCGAACAGGAUUAGAUACCCUGGUAGUCCACGCCGUAAACGAUGGUCACUAGCUGUCCGGACUUAGGUCUGGGUGGCUAAGCGAAAGUGAUAAGUGACCCACCUGGGGAGUACGUUCGCAAGAAUGAAACUCAAAGGAAUUGACGGGGGGCCGCACAAGCGGUGGAGCAUGUGGUUUAAUUCGAUGAUACGCGAGGAACCUUACCAGGGCUUAAAUGUAAGUUGCAUUAGCUAGAGAUAGCUAUUUCUUCGGACCACUUACAAGGUGCUGCAUGGUUGUCGUCAGCUCGUGCCGUGAGGUGUCAGGUUAAGUCCUAUAACGAGCGCAACCCCUGUUGUUAGUUGCCAGCGAGUAAUGUCGGGAACUCUAGCAAGACUGCCGGUGCAAACCGCGAGGAAGGUGGGGAUGACGUCAAAUCAUCACGGCCCUUACGUCCUGGGCUACACACGUGCUACAAUGGUAGGGACAGAGAGCAGCCACUGGGCGACCAGGAGCGAAUCUAUAAACCCUAUCACAGUUCGGAUCGGAGUCUGCAACUCGACUCCGUGAAGCU